Molecule: ribosomal RNA, 253 nt
Filed under: uncultured bacterium
Lineage: Bacteria
Description: partial 16S ribosomal RNA
Rfam family: Bacterial small subunit ribosomal RNA
Source: RNAcentral
GACAGAGGGGGCAAGCGUUGCUCGGAAUCACUGGGCGUAAAGGGCGCGUAGGCGGGAUGGCAAGUCGGUCGUGAAAUCCCUGGGCUCAACUCAGGGGGGUCGGCCGAUACUGCCGUUCUUGAGGGAUACAGAGGAGACUGGAAUUCCCGGUGUAGCGGUGAAAUGUGUAGAGAUCGGGAGGAACACCGGUGGCGAAGGCGGGUCUCUGGGCAUUCCCUGACGCUGAGGCGCGAAAGCGUGGGGAGCAAACGGG